Molecule: long non-coding RNA, 684 nt
Filed under: Canis lupus familiaris (dog)
Lineage: Eukaryota; Metazoa; Chordata; Mammalia; Carnivora; Canidae
Description: lncRNA (ENSCAFG00030010695.1)
Source: RNAcentral
AUGCCCGCCGGCCGCCGCGACUCCCGGGCCGCCGCCGCCGCCACUGCCGCCGCCACUGACGCGCUCGGGGCCCUGCGGCCGGCGGGGGGCGGGGGGCGGGGGGCAUGCGGGGGCGGGCGCGGGGGCGGGCGCGGGGGCGGGCGCGGGCGCGGGGGCGGCGGGGGGGCGGCGCGCGCGGCCGCGGGGCGGAGUGAGCGUGGCCCCCGGCGUGCGGGGCGGCGGCGGCGGCGGCGGCGGGGCCCCAGCGCCGGGCGGGAGGCGGCGGGGCCCCAUGGAGUGUUACUACAUUGUCAUCAGCUCCACGCGGCUCCGCAACGGACACUUUCGCAACAUCAAGGGAGUUUUCCGGGGCCCCCUCAGCAAGAACGGGACCAAAACUCUGGCUACGUUACCAGGCAAAAAAAAAUAAAGGUGGACUGUGACAACCGCUACGUAAUAACACGAGAACAGCUAACACGGGACGCAAAGAAGCCUGCAGGACUUAAAGGAGUUGAUAUGAUGAUACAGGCUGCAACUCAAAAACUCAGAAGGCUGGGAUCCCUGGGUGGCGCAGCGGUUUGGCGCCUGCCUUUGGCCCAGGGCGCCAUCCUGGAGACCCGGGAUCGAAUCCCACGUCGGGCUCCCGGUGCAUGGAGCCUGCUUCUCCCUCUGCCUGUGUCUCUGCCUCUCUCUCUCUCUGUGUGA